RNAcentral lists this long non-coding RNA (1926 nucleotides) under Struthio camelus australis. RNAcentral's name for it is "lncRNA (ENSSCUG00000009386.1)". Lineage: Eukaryota; Metazoa; Chordata; Aves; Struthioniformes; Struthionidae. The record is from RNAcentral.
GAAUGCUUUAUGCAGGCAGGCACCUGGGACAUUUCUUUAAAAAGAAAAUCAACAGAGGUCACUCUCUUAAAACACAGUCAGCAGAGGAGGAGGCAUGGAGAUACUGUGACUAAGCCUGCAUUCACCACUUCAAUGUUGCGAUCGGUCAGUGCCCUAAGGCCAAUGUCUUUCCAUCAACGGGGCCGUGACCAGACCCGUUCUAAGAAGAGCCUCUACUUCGUAAAGAGCUCAUUUUUCUCCCCAUCUCUGAUUCAUCAUCUUUAGGUUCUCUGUGUAAGGAGGAAGUCAUGAAGGAAAAAAGGAGCUAAAGGAAACCACUGUACUUUCUCCAGAAGGUGCCCUGAGCCUUUCACAACAAUCUCUUACCUCUAAACUGACCUAGAUGAAGUUUCUCCCCUCCAAGCGUGAGAACUUCUCAGGAAGGAACUGAGUGCCAGCAACUGCUGCCACGGGGAGGGAGCAUAGCAACACAGGAUUACCUCGCGGACGGAAACCACUUCCGGAAGAUGCCCUACAAAUACGUGGGGAAUCAAAGAAAUACUGGAGCCAGCUCUUCUUGCCUUCUGCUGGUGUGGGGGUGAUCUCAACAAACUGAAGCACAGAAACAUCCUCUGUGACUAUUAUCUUCUGCAAAGGUGCUAGAGGCUUUUGGAUCUUUAAUAUUCUUGAUUUCACAAAUGCACACAGAAAUGACAUAGCUACUGUCCUCAAAUCUCUCAGAAUACAUGCUAUAUCCAUGUGAUAUUCCAGUUAUAGCAGCUAGGGCUGAGUAUUUACAGCAAUUCAUUUCGCUUAUUAAACAUCACUAUACCCUCAAGCCAACUCCUACAGCUGAGAGAAGUCAUUACAUUUUUAAUGCUGUCUAUAUUCCCAAUAGUAUAUCAAGGCUUUUCUAUUUUUUAAUUAUUUUCAUUUUUCUAAACCAUGAGAUCUGCCUUCUGGGCACCUAUGUUUCAGGUUAAGUAAGACUAAACUGAUUCUGUAGCUAUAUCAGUGGGGGGGGAAGGGGUUUGUUUGUUUUCCGUCUUUUUAAAGUAAAUGUCAAAUCCAGCUUGAGCACUGGAAACACACCAUAUGACUGGUAUUUGAGGAAAAGCUGUUGGCUUGUCUCUUCCCCUGACAAAUUCACAUCUGCUUUACGGCGAUCAGUUUAGGCUACUGGAUCACUAUUUGGCAGGGUAUUAUUCUGUGUACGGCUCAAUACUAUACCAUACAGGGCACGCAAACGAGACCACCUAUCUAUUUCUGUGGAUUUCUGAGUUAAAAUUCCAAAAGCAUUUAAGGAUAUUUCUAAGCCACUAAAUUGCAAGAAAUCUAAAAUAUUGCUUCGCCUCAGAAUACAGGCACAAAAAGCAUAUUUGUUCACAAUUCGUUCACAAUAUUUGCCACUCUUCCAACACAUUUUUAGUAAUGGUUGAGCUAUAUUUAACACCAACCUGUUGGUCCUAGAAGAAAUAUUCCUAUACUAUGGUGGACUAGUAGCUAGAACAAGUUUUUUCAAAGCUAAGAUUCCUGGCUGUCUUGUAAACUGCUGAUUUUAUUGCGCAGCCUCAAGCAAUUCACUUAACAUCAUCAAGCUGCAGUUUUCAUUCUGCUAAACAGUUACGGCUUUACAUUGAUACUUUCACCGCCUUCGGACUCACCCAGCUCGCUACUUAAACGCAUUUCUAGUUGCAUGUAUGCACUAAAUUCAAUUAGCUUUGCUAUUAGGUUUUGGUAAAGCCUUAAUGGAUAUUUGGAUAAUAUAUAUAUAUUGGAUAAAAAUAUAAUGGAUAUCUGGAGUAUGGAUACUCACAGGUAUCUGAUGUAAACAGUCAAAAAUUAUAGCAAUUAAGCAUCUGGUUGAACUACAGCCUUUAUGUUUUAGGUAGAGGACGCUAAAUAUACUGAAAGGCUGCAUCUAAUAAACCUAAUUAUUGGAGAACA